RNAcentral lists this ribosomal RNA (497 nucleotides) under uncultured bacterium. RNAcentral's name for it is "partial 16S ribosomal RNA". It matches the Rfam family "Bacterial small subunit ribosomal RNA", at positions 28 to 507 of the family's 1533-position model. The record is from RNAcentral.
GAUGAACGCUGGCGGCGUGCCUAAUACAUGCAAGUCGAACGAACAGAUGAGGAGCUUGCUCCUCUGACGUUAGCGGCGGACGGGUGAGUAACACGUGGAUAACCUACCUAUAAGACUGGGAUAACUUCGGGAAACCGGAGCUAAUACCGGAUAAUAUAUUGAACCGCAUGGUUCAAUAGUGAAAGACGGUUUUGCUGUCACUUAUAGAUGGAUCCGCGCCGCAUUAGCUAGUUGGUAAGGUAACGGCUUACCAAGGCGACGAUGCGUAGCCGACCUGAGAGGGUGAUCGGCCACACUGGAACUGAGACACGGUCCAGACUCCUACGGGAGGCAGCAGUAGGGAAUCUUCCGCAAUGGGCGAAAGCCUGACGGAGCAACGCCGCGUGAGUGAUGAAGGUCUUCGGAUCGUAAAACUCUGUUAUUAGGGAAGAACAAAUGUGUAAGUAACUAUGCACGUCUUGACGGUACCUAAUCAGAAAGCCACGGCUAACUACGUG